RNAcentral lists this ribosomal RNA (465 nucleotides) under uncultured Klebsiella sp. RNAcentral describes it as "bacterial SSU rRNA". It matches the Rfam family "Bacterial small subunit ribosomal RNA", at positions 338 to 795 of the family's 1533-position model. Lineage: Bacteria; Pseudomonadati; Pseudomonadota; Gammaproteobacteria; Enterobacterales; Enterobacteriaceae. The record is from RNAcentral.
CCUACGGGUGGCUGCAGUGGGGAAUAUUGCACAAUGGGCGCAAGCCUGAUGCAGCCAUGCCGCGUGUGUGAAGAAGGCCUUCGGGUUGUAAAGCACUUUCAGCGGGGAGGAAGGGGGUGAGGUUAAUAACCUCAUCGAUUGACGUUACCCGCAGAAGAAGCACCGGCUAACUCCGUGCCAGCAGCCGCGGUAAUACGGAGGGUGCAAGCGUUAAUCGGAAUUACUGGGCGUAAAGCGCACGCAGGCGGUCUGUCAAGUCGGAUGUGAAAUCCCCGGGCUCAACCUGGGAACUGCAUUCGAAACUGGCAGGCUAGAGUCUUGUAGAGGGGGAUAGAAUUCCAGGUGUAGCGGUGAAAUGCGUAGAGAUCUGGAGGAAUACCGGUGGCGAAGGCGGCCCCCUGGACAAAGACUGACGCUCAGGUGCGAAAGCGUGGGGAGCAAACAGGAUUAGAUACCCCUGUAGUC